CUACGGGAUGCUGCAGUGAGGAAUAUUGCACAAUGGGGGGAACCCUGAUGCAGCAACGCCGCGUGGAGGAUGACGCAUUUCGGUGUGUAAACUCCUUUUAUAUGUCAAGAAAAUGACGGUAGCAUAUGAAUAAGCACCGGCUAACUCCGUGCCAGCAGCCGCGGUAAUACGGAGGGUGCAAGCGCUACUCGGAAUCACUGGGCGUAAGGGACGCGUAGGCGGGUUGGAAAGUCAGGUGUGAAAUCCUACAGCUUAACUGUAGAACUGCACUUGAAACUUCUAAUCUAGAGUAUGGGAGGGGGAGAUGGAAUUAGUGGUGUAGGGGUAAAAUCCGUAGAUAUCACUAGGAAUACCUAAAGCGAAGGCGAUCUCCUGGAACAUUACUGACGCUAAGGCGUGAAAGCGUGGGGAGCAAACAGGAUUAGAUACCCCCGUAGUC
Molecule: ribosomal RNA, 439 nt
Filed under: uncultured bacterium
Lineage: Bacteria
Description: partial 16S ribosomal RNA
Rfam family: Bacterial small subunit ribosomal RNA
Source: RNAcentral